Molecule: small RNA, 104 nt
Filed under: Staphylococcus aureus
Lineage: Bacteria; Bacillati; Bacillota; Bacilli; Caryophanales; Staphylococcaceae
Rfam family: S. aureus tsr24 small RNA
Source: RNAcentral
GAGACUCCUGAGGGAGCAGUGCCAGUCGAAGACCGAGGCUGAGACGGCACCCUAGGAAAGCGAAGCCAUUCAAUACGAAGUAUUGUAUAAAUAGAGAACAGCAG